Molecule: ribosomal RNA, 562 nt
Filed under: Cystobasidium slooffiae
Lineage: Eukaryota; Fungi; Basidiomycota; Cystobasidiomycetes; Cystobasidiales; Cystobasidiaceae
Description: eukaryotic LSU rRNA
Rfam family: 5.8S ribosomal RNA (bases 130-283)
Source: RNAcentral
UUAGGAGUUCUUUUUAGAGUCCGACCCUUUCAUUUUCUUACACUGUGCACACACUUCUUUUUUACACACACUUUUAACACCUUAGUAUAAGAAUGUAAUAGUCUCUUAAUUGAGCAUAAAUAAAAACAAAACUUUCAGCAACGGAUCUCUUGGCUCUCGCAUCGAUGAAGAACGCAGCGAAUUGCGAUAAGUAAUGUGAAUUGCAGAAUUCAGUGAAUCAUCGAAUCUUUGAACGCACCUUGCACUCUUUGGUAUUCCGAAGAGUAUGUCUGUUUGAGUGUCAUGAAACUCUCAACCCCCCUAUUUUGUAAUGAGAUGGGUGUGGGCUUGGAUUAUGGUUGUCUGUCGGCGUAAUUGCCGGCUCAACUGAAAUACACGAGCAACCCUAUUGAAAUAAACGGUUUGACUUGGCGUAAUAAUUAUUUCGCUAAGGACGUUUUCUUCAAAUAUAAGAGGUGCUUCUAAUUCGCUUCUAAUAGCAUUUAAGCUUUAGACCUCAAAUCAGUCAGGACUACCCGCUGAACUUAAGCAUAUCAAUAAGCGGAGGGAAAAGAAAAGGAGC